GGCUCAGAACGAACGCUGGCGGCGUGCCUAAGACAUGCAAGUCGUGCGGAAAGGCUCCUUCGGGAGCACUCGAGCGGCGCACGGGUGAGUAACGCGUGGGUAAUCUGCCUUCAGGUCUGGGACAACUUCGGGAAACUGGAGCUAAUACCGGAUGAGACCACGGGGCCCUCGGGUCCUGCGGAAAAAGGUGGCCUCUGCUUGCAAGCUACCGCCUGUCGAUGAGCCUGCGUCCCAUUAGCUAGUUGGUAGGGUAACGGCCUACCAAGGCGACGAUGGGUAGCUGGUCUGAGAGGAUGAUCAGCCACACUGGAACUGAGACACGGUCCAGACUCCUACGGGAGGCAGCAGUCGGGAAUUUUGGGCAAUGGGCGAAAGCCUGACCCAGCAACGCCGCGUGAGGGAUGAAGGCCCUCGGGUCGUAAACCUCUGUCGGGAGGGAAGAACGAUCGGCAGUCGAACAGGCUGACGGUCUGACGGUACCUCCAAAGGAAGCACCGGCUAACUCCGUGCCAGCAGCCGCGGUAA
RNAcentral lists this ribosomal RNA (525 nucleotides) under uncultured delta proteobacterium. Its description in RNAcentral is "bacterial SSU rRNA". It matches the Rfam family "Bacterial small subunit ribosomal RNA", at positions 21 to 523 of the family's 1533-position model. The record is from RNAcentral. Lineage: Bacteria; Deltaproteobacteria.